GGACGUUUAGCUCAGCUGGUCUAGAGCGCACGCUUCACACGCGUGAGGUCACUGGUUCAAAUCCAGUAACGUCCACAA
This 78-nucleotide transfer RNA is filed under the name Ectothiorhodospiraceae bacterium. RNAcentral's name for it is "tRNA-Val". It matches the Rfam family "tRNA". From Rfam's summary of the family: Transfer RNA (tRNA) molecules are approximately 80 nucleotides in length. The record is from RNAcentral. Lineage: Bacteria; Pseudomonadati; Pseudomonadota; Gammaproteobacteria; Chromatiales; Ectothiorhodospiraceae.